CCCCCGCUCUCCCCUCCCCCUGCUGUACCUUCCACAACAGACUGCGCUAGCGCUACGCUGGCUAAUGCACGCUCCAGCCUCGGGCACAGAGAGCGCACACCCACCGCAAUCACACACACGCACAGACACACACGCACACGCACACACUGCCUGUAAUGAAUGGCUGGACAGACAUUGACAAUGUUCGCCCAGGAACAUCGUUACGUAUGGAAAUAAAGACUAUUUUAAUACCAUGCUUAUUAAAAUUUCAUUUAAAUGAGUCCUUGUGUAUUUACUUAUCAAGAGGAAGGGAUAUUGCACUGGCAUUAUUUCUGAAUAUAUAAUCUCUGCAUCCAAAAUAAUUCAACCCUAUAAUAAUCCCUAAAAUAAAAAUAUUUUUUAUUUGGGUGACAGCCAGUGACCAAAAUACUACUCUCAUUAUUAUUUAAUUAUUCAUUUAUUUGCAGAUGGAAAUUAGGUAGUGGCUAAAAUCUGGUGCAAAGCGCCUCAACAUUAAUUGUGAUUGAUGUGUUUUGUAUACAGACCCUGAUAAUAUAAACCAACUCUGUGUUUUUUGUCCUAUUCUCCAUUCUAACAUUAACACAUUGUAUGUGAGCAGAUUGGGAUGCAGCACGCUGUCCGUAGUAUAAGAACACAGAGUGACUUCCUGCUCGUAGGAUUUCCCAGGGAGCACUUGUGUUACUCAUGAAUGCGUUCAUUCAUCACUGCGGGUAGGACCUCUUUCUGUGACGCACUGUCCGUCACGCGCGUCGUAUGACGGCCUUCGGAAGGUCGUGUCCUGUGAACGUGUGCGGAUUGCAAAAGGCCGCACUGUACCUCAUUUCCCCUCCCGUCCACCACGGUGGUGAAGCAGGGUAUCACAUUUCGAGUUAGCUGCCAGCUGUGUACAGGGAAAAUCCAAUAGCUGGAUGUCAAUAAGAUAAAAGUAAGUGAACCAGUUUGAAUGCCCUACAUACAGUAAACAGCCGUCCUUGAACACAGUCAUCUUUGAGAUGUGUCAGGGAUGAAUGUAUUACACUACUUGUUGUAAAGGCAGCGUCAUUAAGAAAACAGAUCGAGCUUAAUGGAGUCCUGUAGGCUGGCUUUCCCAGCUUCAGUGUCCAUGCCAGGCUGCUAAUGUAGGGGAACAGGACUGGGUAAGAUCCUCACUGCAGACCUGGUGAAUGUGAAUUACAACAUGCAUGUUAAUUUCAUCCAGACUUUAGUCUUUGGUCCCUAAGCAAGUUUGAACAAUCCCCCACAAAAUGAGAACAUACUAUAUAAUGCCCAUACUGAAAUAAAAUAGACUACUCAAGAUCUGAAAAUAAUAUUCACAGUGAUUAAUAUUAGUGCCACUUUCAGAUACUGCAAGUAAUACAUUGCUUUGAAAUGUACUGUAAUUUUUUAACAUAAUUUUUCCACAUAUUUAUUCAAUACAUUGCAGAAUGUUCUGUUUCAAUCAAAGGUACUACAGACAUAGAUGCAGUCAUAUCCAUGUUCCUUAAAUCUACAAAAGCCAGGUUGGGCUCAGAACUGCUUUAUGAAUGCUGAGUAUGUCAGCAAACUCUACCAGGGACACAUUUGAUGUUAAAAGUAGCUUCACUGUAUAAUUUGGUUAUGAAACAUGAACGUGGACAGGGCUUGUAUGGGAAUGCAGUACACUGUAGUUAUCCAUAAGCUGCAUACAAACUGGAUGAACUUCAGCUACUGUUGGGUAAAAACAGAGACUUUUCUUCAUCUUCUGUUUUGUGCUUCACGGAGACGUGGUUGUGUGGAUCGAUUCCGGAUUCUGCGCUGCAGCUGCCAGGCUUCCAACUCUUCAGAGCGGACCGCGACACAGAACUCUCCGGCAAAACGAAAGGCGCAGACAUACGGCCGAGCCUCCGUUUCCCGGCUGCUGUGCACCUGAAAAAACAGAAGAGCGGGGGAACACAGCCGUCAUCAAACAGAAGACGGAGACUCGCGCUGGACGCUGGCUCACAAGCACCUUCCUGUGGGCCUCGGGGCCGGUCACGCUAUGAGCUGUGACAGAACUGGUGCAGCCGGGCUCCUGUUUCAUCAGUGUGGCCUACAUUCCCCCAGCUGGACCAAAGGACGGCUGCCAGAGAAUCACCCUCUUCUCACCGGUUUUCUUUCUGGCCUACUGGCCCCCUGAAACCCUAUAGUGUAGACACUGUCUAAGUAUUAGAAAUAUUAGGUUCACUAAUAUUUAUUUAAACCUUUGGUGUAAAUAGACAGCAUUUGGAUAGCGCUUCUAUCUAAUUACUGGAUCUCAUUCACCCAUUCACAUGCUCUGUCACACUCAAGCAGUGAUAGGCUGCCAUGCUAGGCUGACCAGCUUGUUGGGAGCAAUUGGGGAUUAGGCGUCUUCCUCAGAGAAGGAAGGCAUUUUGUUUUUCCAGAAAUGCACAAGAAUUGUAUUUGAAACUGGCAUAUUAUUGGAAAUGUUGUACAUUCUUCAAAUAUAGCAUUUUAGUCCUAUUUAUUUGUAAAACUACACUUCUUCUCUAAACACCAAAAAUGGAUAUAUAUCGCUUUGCGCUCAAACUCUAUGAAUGGAAACUCAUGACAAAUUGGGGUGGGAAUCGGAUAUACACAGCCCCAAGUUUUGUGUCAUUUUUUUAUUUUUUUAUUGAAACCCACAAGACAAUAUAUUACUAGAAUACUGAACCAAAACACAAUAAUAUUUAUUCCCAUUGCACAUUCUUGGUAUACAGCAAGAAUUUUGUUUAUCCCUUUUAGAAAUGUAAUCAUUUGACCCAUUUAAAAAGCUCUAUUUUCAGUUACACUGUGAGAGGGCAGCUUGAUUAUGAGGUGAAAAGGUGACUUGUGUUGAGGUGGAGUAUGCACAGCGCUUGCCUUGAUAUAAGAUGCUAUUUUGGUCAAAGCCAGUCCGUCUACAGGUCAUGGAUUACAAUAGGGGACGGCGGCCAUUUUGUGUACAGGAAACAAAAGAACAAAGGGGAAGCCGCUGAGACACUGUCCUCCGGCCCCGUGACAAACUGAGCACCGUGUACUUUCAUAUGAAAAGAGCUGUACACGGGGUCAUCCAAGGGUGCCAUUACAGAAGGGUGAGCGAUGGUUCACAGAAGUCAUAUGCGGACUUCCAGUUUACUGAAUCAGUUCAACAGAACAUCUACAGUAUAUUUUGGAUUGUGAGACACAGGAGAAGAUAUUCAGGGAACGUUUUGCAGGGAAUUGAGAUAUAAGAGUGUUUCCUGGAAAAUAAACUAGUAAAAGUACCAUAAAGUACCAUAAUUGUAAAAUGACAUUUAUAAAAAAUAAAGAUUUAAUGUAAAUACUCAAAAUCAA
Long non-coding RNA from Conger conger (European conger), 3291 nucleotides. RefSeq lists it as uncharacterized. Lineage: Eukaryota; Metazoa; Chordata; Actinopteri; Anguilliformes; Congridae. The record is from RefSeq and is a predicted model, not a curated record. The transcript has 2 exons.